Erinaceus europaeus (western European hedgehog) is the source of this 691-nucleotide long non-coding RNA. RefSeq lists it as uncharacterized. Lineage: Eukaryota; Metazoa; Chordata; Mammalia; Eulipotyphla; Erinaceidae. The record is from RefSeq and is a predicted model, not a curated record. The transcript has 2 exons.
CACUUUUCAGAAGUAGUCAACAAUCUGCAACCAAAGAAAACUGAGGAUUUGAGAGAGACGAUAGCACCACCUGGAUAUGCGCAGUGCAGAGAAUCCAGCUCAGACUGCAUUCUUGGAAAGCAAGCGCUAUCUUGCUAAGCCACCUCCCCACCUGUGCAACCGCUGUUUUGACCUUUGUGAUAACUAAAUCCUUGUUUUCAUUCUUGCUAGGUAUCAGCAUAUAAAGCUUUUUAGGACACUGUAAUCGAAGGAAUUCAAUCCAUGAGGGAAAUAGUAAAAUAAAUGUGCUGUGUUGGUGAACCAUAAAUGAUAUUGUCUUUCUCCCGGGGCAGCUGUGAAUGUGUGAACUCAUCGGUGGUGUGGACCCUGCCCAAAUAGUAAUCAACACAGAAACCUUAUAAAAUUACCAACAAAUCACAACUUCUGUCUACCAGCACUUUUGAUGCCCCAAGCCUAGAGUUUUUGUUUUGUUUCCCACUGAAGUUGUUUGUGAUUUAGAGUCUUUGGGGCUGUGAAGGAAAACAUAGGUUCACACUCAACGAAUGAACUUUGGCAAAUCGGAGGGUACAUUUGUGGUGUAUUUACAAAAAAGAAACAAUCACCACCUAGCAAACCAAAGAUCCUUUAUUUUCUCUUUCUCACUUUCAUAACCCAGGAUAAAUUUAAUAAAGUUGUCUUGCCUUAGGCUGAA